Molecule: long non-coding RNA, 461 nt
Organism: Equus quagga
Lineage: Eukaryota; Metazoa; Chordata; Mammalia; Perissodactyla; Equidae
Exons: 2
Source: RefSeq, a predicted model, not a curated record
GAGUUACUCUUCCGAAAAAUAAAGACCCGCUAUAAUUACAUUUCCCAUCAUACGGCCAAUUAACUAUCAUUCCCAUCAUGCAACGAGGCUCCUCAUUCCCGCCCUUAAUCCGGGAAGGAGGGGGCGCGGUGCUCUCUGGGACUUGUAGUUGGAAGCCUUGGGAGUUAUGCGUUACUGACUGGCGUGAUCUAAAGGGUUUCCUUUCAAGGAAUGUGAUGACCUCCAAACAGAGAGUCUAUGCUGAUAGCCAUCAUCCGUGACAACUGAAAGACCUGAUGUGGCAACUCCCAGCCUGUAACACCAGAGGGUCAACAUUCCCAACCCUCUCCCCUAAAACCCACUGGCAUAUAUAACUGCUUCAAGAUUCUGUGCCGCACCCGCCUUAAGAUGGUUCUUUUGGACGUUAGUCAGCCAUCUUACCUCUUGCUAGCAAGCUGUAAUAAAAUGCCCUUUCUCUGCCA